GGCUCAGAACGAACGCUGGCGGCGUGUCCUAAUACAUGCAAGUCGAGCGAAUCUCUAGGAGCUUGCUCCUGUUGGUUAGCGGCGGACGGGUGAGUAACACGUGGGCAACCUGCCUGUAAGACUGGGAUAACACCGGGAAACCGGUGCUAAUACCGGAUAAUCUUUUUCCUCUCAUGAGGAAAAACUGAAAGUCGGUUUCGGCUGACACUUACAGAUGGGCCCGCGGCGCAUUAGCUAGUUGGUGAGGUAACGGCUCACCAAGGCGACGAUGCGUAGCCGACCUGAGAGGGUGAUCGGCCACACUGGGACUGAGACACGGCCCAGACUCCUACGGGAGGCAGCAGUGGG
RNAcentral lists this ribosomal RNA (348 nucleotides) under uncultured Bacillus sp. Its description in RNAcentral is "bacterial SSU rRNA". It matches the Rfam family "Bacterial small subunit ribosomal RNA", at positions 21 to 358 of the family's 1533-position model. The record is from RNAcentral. Lineage: Bacteria; Bacillati; Bacillota; Bacilli; Caryophanales; Bacillaceae.